GUAGUAGUGUAUACUGCGUCAACAUGUCGGAGUGUCUCAACUAUUAUAUUUUAUAACAAAAUCUAAUAUAUAGAAUAUUGUUGAAAUGAAAUUAUUGUUCUUAUAUAUAAAUACGAAGAAUUGUAACAUUUUAAAUUUAUUUGGGUAAUACUUAUUGCAACUAAUCAUUACUAUAUGUUAUAUUUGUCGUUAUCAGUUGAGUAUUUUAAUGAAAAAUUUACUCCAAGUUUUCUGUGUAUAAUAAUAAAUAAUAAACAAUAGGUGAUUCAGGAGAGUAGUGAAAUUUCUAUUUAUCAAAAUUUAGUACCUCCACUGUUUGGUUGAAUAUACACUCCGUUUUGAAAACUGCACCAAGACUUGGUAUUCAUUUUUUUCCGUGUCUUCGGUUUUAAGUUAAAAGUCGAAUUUUAUUUCAAGUAAUUAAUUAAAAUAUCGAUUAUUACUUCUGUAGGCGUAAUUAAGGCAUGGGGGAUUGUAAUUUGGAUCUGUACAAUCAAAAAGAAAAGUUUUCUUAUACGCCGUGGUGUUCAAUGUGUGAAAAAGGACCUCAAAGGAGACGUUCUAUUAGCGAAACUAAUGAACCUUGUCGAAGAAAAAGUAAAGAAUUGAAAACCCUAACUCCAAAAAAGUACAAUCGUAGUCAAGAGUAUGAAAAUAUGGAAUUUGAAUAUGAAUUAAAAGGCCAAUGGCAAGAAAAAGACAUGAGGUAUGAAUUCUCUAGGAUUAGAUCAAACCUGUGUGAGCUACCUACAAGCUAUAUAUCAAAUAAUUGUCAACUUUCAAAUAAUUUGACAGGUCUUCCAAAAUUGUCUAAUGAGCCAACUGGUUUUGACUGUUUCAAAGGUGCUGGUGCUUAUGAGACUGCAGGAAAAUUUGUAGAUAUCAAUGAUCAAAUAGAAAAUUUAGGUAACAUGCAAAGUAAAACAAAAACCAAAUUAGAGCCAAUAAAGCUUAGUAAGAUAGAAAUUCCCUCAGGUCAACGGAAACGAGAAGUGAGGAGCCCUGAUAAAUUCUGCAAUUUUUACCAGUACAAUUUAAAUUCUAGACAACAUCUACAAAGCAAAAGUGAUAUUUUAGAAAAAUACCCUGCCCCCCCGCAAAAAUCGAAGACUAAUCCGUCUACAUCCCCAUUUUGUAAUGAAUAUUGUAUGUACACUAAUUUCAAGAUGCACACGUUAAGCAGUCAGACACCAGUAUGUUUUGACACCAGUACUUAUUUUAACAGAAGAAACGACACCAUUCCAGACAAAUACAAUAGAGAAAUUCAAGAUUUAAGAGAAAAAUUACUAUCAUUAAAAAGUAAUUGUUAUAAUUACAGAUGCGAAACUGCAUUAAUAGAAAGUUCAGAAGGAAAUCCUAGCCCUAGUAAGGGUGGUAUAAACACUAUAAAAACCAGAUCUGAACUAACUAAUGCUCAAAGUACAGCUACCAUUGAUAAACAUGAAAUGAAAGCAGUAACUGAUAUAAAUUUAUGCAAAAGUAUCCAGAAAGAAACUCCCAAGUCACUUCAGUUGCAGUGUGAAGUGGAUCAUUCGGUACCUCCUUCUACUCCUGGACUUAAAACCAAUAGGAGCAAAGUUUCUUUGAAAACUAGAAUUAAAGUGAAUAAUCAUAAAAUGAAAAAAGGAAAAUCAAAGACUUUGCAUACGUUGCCUGCAAUAGCUGAUGAUACAAACAGUGAUUGUAGUGGCUCUGAUAGUGAAAACGAAACAAAUAUAGAUGAUAUUGAUAACUUAGAAGAUGGUAAAAAUGAAGAUUCAUCUGAGAGUUGCUUGUCUCUAAAUGAAAAUGAAACUGGUUCUGGUGAUGCAGUAAACUGGCCCCUCAGACCAAGUCUCUUUCCAAACAUUCCGCCGUACAUUAAAUUCAGAAUGUUCAGUUCCGAAGUAGAAGUAAAAAUUCCGAACGCCAAAAAAUUCUUCAAAUGGAAACUUAGUACAAUAACCCCGAUGAUAGUUAGAAAAACAUUAACAAAUACCGGUUUCGUACUAGUGCGAAGUGAGUUUUCAAGAGAAUCAAAUCAAUGGUUAGGUACGUGGGGUAAACACAUGAAAUCCCCAAUGUUUAAGACAUUAAAGGAAACUCAAAAGCUGAAUCAUUUUCCCGGUACAUUUCAAUUAGGGAGAAAAGAUAGACUUUGGAGGAAUUUUCAACGAAUGAUAUUGAAAUUUGGAGUAAAAGAAUUUGGUUUUUUACCUCAUACGUACAUUCUACCUCAAGAGUUGAAAUUAUUGAAACAAUGUUGGGAAUAUAAGAAUGGAAAUGGUGGCGAAAUGUGGAUUAUAAAACCGCCGGCUUCUGCAAGAGGGGUUGGUAUAAAAGUGAUAAACAAAUGGUCUCAGCUUCCGAAAAAAUCGUCUUUAAUAGUUCAAAAAUACAUUUCCAAUCCUUAUCUAAUAAAUGAUAGUAAAUUCGAUCUAAGACUGUACGUACUAGUUACUAGUUUCAAUCCUUUAAUUAUUUAUAUGUACAAAGAAGGAUUGGCGAGAUUUGCUAGUGCAAAAUAUAGUAGCAAUGCCAAAGAUCUAAAAGACAGGUAUAUGCAUCUAACUAAUUAUAGUAUCAAUAAAUUUUCCAGUCAAUAUACUGCCAAUGAAGAUGCGAACUCCUGUCAAGGACACAAAUGGACAAUCUCCAAAUUAAUGGAAUAUUUACAAGAUUACAACGUAGAUACGAAAGCGUUAUGGAAAAAUUUACAACAAUUAGUGAUAAAGACUAUAAUAGCUUGCGAAUCACCUGUCGUGGAAUUAUGUGAAGAAAAUAUAAAUAGCAGAUAUAAUUGCUACGAAUUAUUUGGAAUCGAUAUACUCUUGGAUGAUAAUUUUAAACCGUGGCUUCUAGAGGUGAAUAUAUCACCGAGUCUUCACAGCGCUUCGCCAUUAGACGCUUACGUCAAAGGUCCUUUGGUUCAAUCGAUAUUCGAUAUGGCUCAAUUCCAUUUACCGUCCAGGAUACGUAGUCAAAAAUAUGAAGAUAUGCCAGAAGGUUUUGAUACUAGAUUCUAUUCCACCGCCUUAACGAAAAAGGAAAAAAAUAAACAUUCUUUAUUCGAACAGCUAGAAAGUAGGGAUGAGUAUCUCGUAGACAUUCUCAGGACGUUAACUGGAGACGAUGUGAGGCAUUUGGCAAGGGCAGAAGAUGAAUUACAAGUGACAGGAAACUUUGAAAGGAUAUUUCCGACGCCCACAUCUCAUAAAUAUCUACACUACUUGGCUCCAAGAUACUAUAAUAGGUUGUUCGAUGCUUGGGAAGAGAGGUACGGUCACCAGAGGGAAACAGGUAUUGCUGUAUUAAGGAACCUUUGUAACCAAAGAAUUCACUUGAAAGUACCUCUAAAUAGUACGUUGAUCAAGAAACAAAAAAUGUUUUUAUUUCAAUAGAAUUUGCCGAAUACGACCCAUUUGGAUACGAAGGUACAACCAUUCAAGUUGGAACGCCCCAAUCCUCCCCUAGAAGAUAUAAUGAGUCAAGCAACAAUCAAUAGUACAAUAUCGACUGCCGUUUAGUAUCUUUAUAAGGAAAAUAUAAAAUUUCAUAACGACUGCCAUUAAUUCAAGUUGAUAUUUUGUUGUGGUUGUUAUUUAUAAAUUUCAUGUAUUGUGUCUAUGAUUAAAUUUUCGUAUAAUUAUUAUUUUGCAUUAAAUGUAUUAUUUCAUUUUUGCCAUUGUCUUAAGUUAUUUGUAUUAUUUAAAUCAAUAAAAGAAUUCAAAAAAUACACACUA
Molecule: RNA transcript, 3722 nt
Organism: Diorhabda carinulata
Lineage: Eukaryota; Metazoa; Arthropoda; Insecta; Coleoptera; Chrysomelidae
Gene name: tubulin monoglutamylase TTLL4-like
Exons: 15
Source: RefSeq, a predicted model, not a curated record